UGUUACAUACAUUUCAACAAAACCAUUAUACCCUGAUUUCCCAUUGAAAAUGGGUUCAGGGUAUAAAAACAAGUUCCUCUUUCGUUCAACUAGGUACACACGAUGCAAACAAUUUGCAGCAAGCUGAUUGAUGCAAUCGAAUUUGCACGUUUUAACACGAGUGCAAACAUUUUGCUGCAAGCAAAAAAUUUGCAAUAACUGUUUGCGGCAACUUUUGUUGCUUGUCGUCUGAAUACAGAAUUUUACCGUUAACUUGGUUGCGUCAGUAGUUGCUUGCUUGUUUGCAUGUGCUGUUUGCUCUCAGUCGCAAUAUUGCAGCAAGCAAGGCAAAAUGUGGGAUCGCGAAAAAACGAUUGAAUUAAUUGAAUUGUACGAGAAUUUUGCAGUUUUAUGGGAUGUUUCGUCAGCAGACUAUAAAAAUAAGUAUAAAAAGCAAAAUGCUUAUCGCGAAAUUGCGGAAAAAUUAAACAAAAGUGAUGAUGAAAUCAAAACAAAAAUUCAUCAUUUGCGCACUCAAUUUUUGCAAGAGGUGCGCAGAGUGAAGCAAAAAAAGAGUGACCAGGGUAAAUUGGACAAUUAUACCAGCAAAUGGGAGUUUUUCGAUGCGCUUAAAUUCAUUAAAAAUGACGACGGAAAUAAUUAUAAAAUUCAAAAUAUUAGCAAACCAAAGAAGCGAAAGAGUGCUGACAGCAAUGAAUUCCUUGCAAAAGCGAUGAGACAUUCGGAAAAUGCUAAGGAAAAAGAUAUCGCUGACAUAUAUGCAGAAUCCUGGGCCGCAACAUUCAGGCAGCUGCCAGCGGAUCAGCAAAUUUUUGCCAGAAAGGGGAUUGAGGAACUGCUAUUCCAAGGCCAACUGGGUAUGCUGACGUUUGAAAGCGUAGCUCAACAUGCAUACCAAUCCAGCACACCAGUUACUGCUAGACCAAUCCCUUCAGUUGUGUAUCAUCGGAACAGCGUUAAUAAUCUGUCUACAUGUCUCAAUUACACUUCGGCCAACACUUUGCGGAGAAAUUCCAGUUGAAAAUUUUAAGUCCUCAUAUGAUUGUCAGCAAAGUUGCCGAAAGCCUUUCAUUUGGCGUUAUUGACAUUCUCGAGGGAAUGUCGUGUCGUUUAGUCUUAGGUCCUACCAAACUUAGUAAUUCCUCAUAGGUUUCCCCAUCCAUUCAAAGAAAAUUCUUCAAGUCCAGGUGGGACGUUUCGUUCAGCUCUUUUAACAAUUUUGUGUGAGUGAAUUUUCCUCGCUUUGCGUACCACUCUUUCAUCCACAUAUUAUGCUUUCUUUUAUUUUUUUUUCUUGUUCUAUUUUUAAGUACACUUAUUGCCAUUAGGGCAACGAUUUUAUUUCGCUCCUCAGACACGUUUCCCUCUCGAAAAAUUUUUAAAAAUGUUGUUCGACGUACAAUGUUGCAAUGAUUGUGUUCGGCGAACAUGUUCGCAAGUGGAUGGACCCCUUUACUCUUUCCAAUGAGCAAAGUGUGGAAGAAAGGAGACAGCAUUUGCAAACUAAUAAUAAUCGAUAACAUCUCAAUCAACUAUCGAGAAGUGAUUCCCGCCCUGGCCAAAGAUGAGAAUAAAUAAAUCUAAUAAUUUGGUGUCAACUGUUUCCAUAACAGAUUUAUAUAGAUAUAUAUAUUUGUAAUAUAUGAUAAUAAUAAAAAAUAAAAAUAAAAUAAAAACUAUAA
RNA transcript from Drosophila mojavensis, 1682 nucleotides. RefSeq lists it as uncharacterized. The record is from RefSeq and is a predicted model, not a curated record. The transcript has 2 exons. NCBI's taxonomy places the organism in Eukaryota, Metazoa, Arthropoda, Insecta, Diptera, Drosophilidae.